Molecule: long non-coding RNA, 461 nt
Organism: Arabidopsis thaliana (thale cress)
Lineage: Eukaryota; Viridiplantae; Streptophyta; Magnoliopsida; Brassicales; Brassicaceae
Product: other RNA
Exons: 1
Source: RefSeq
CUUUAGGUUCUAAUUUAUUUAUGCUUAUUUUUUUGUUUGGUUAGGCGUGAAGUGGGCGAGACACGGUCACGCGCCAAGUCAGCCGAGUGGUCGUUUCUCUUCGAAAGAGAGAAAAUGUAACCGAAACCACGUGGCAGAUAUCGAUUCGUUCGUGUUAUUGACUUGGGUGACAGUCGGUCGUAGCACCAACCACAUUCGAUUUUCUUUGUGAGACGUGUGUCCUCGUCAAAGACGCUCUACGUGGGGUUACAUGCUAGGCUCGGUUUCCGAACCUUGAUUCCGAGGCUCUGAUUUGAAUUUUUUGAACGUUGAAGCCAACCCACUUUGGUUCGUCUCUCUAUCUUCACCAUAUUUUCCCUUUUUGUUUUAGCAAUUGUUUUCUUCAAUUUGAAAUUCCAUUCAUUAUAAUAUCAAUAUGUGCAUAAUCGGACUCACAAAAUAUCGCCGUCAAUGUUUGGUGG